UCAAACAUGGCCCGAAUGGCUGAUAUUGACUGGUGUCAACUAGUUUACACGGAUUUGUGCGAUGCUGCCGCACGUUGGCAUAAAAGGAACAAAACUAACAUCACAGCAACAAUAUAUGGAUGCUCACUCAUUGUUUUAAUUUACUAUCUUGAUCACCUACAUCACCCUGCUGCUCCGGAUAACAAAUAUGGUACUCCACGCAUUAAGUUUUUUGACAAUGAGACCAUAAGACAGUUGGCUCGGGGUGACAGACGCCCCCCCCGUAAAACUGGUGAACCAUUCGGAUAUGCAGAGUUUCGUAGCCGUUCAGAAACGUGUUACGUCAUUGCUCCAGAACGGCCUGCUUCUGCCGUUUUCAACAUCU
Molecule: long non-coding RNA, 364 nt
Organism: Zea mays
Lineage: Eukaryota; Viridiplantae; Streptophyta; Magnoliopsida; Poales; Poaceae
Exons: 3
Source: RefSeq, a predicted model, not a curated record